Small nucleolar RNA from Anguilla anguilla (European eel), 74 nucleotides. RefSeq annotates it as small nucleolar RNA SNORD99. Lineage: Eukaryota; Metazoa; Chordata; Actinopteri; Anguilliformes; Anguillidae. The transcript has a single exon. The record is from RefSeq and is a predicted model, not a curated record.
CCUGGCCGAUGAUGAUACCCUAACUGACUGCAGACUGUUGGAUGAAGCUUGCGGAUAUGGGACUGAGGCUGGAA